AACAGGAUUAGAUACCCUGGUAGUCCACGCUGUAAACGAUGUCGACUUGGAGGUUGUGCCCUUGAGGCGUGGCUUCCGGAGCUAGCGCGUUAAGUCGACCGCCUGGGGAGUACGGCCGCAAGGUUAAAACUCAAAUGAAUUGACGGGGGCCCGCACAAGCGGUGGAGCAUGUGGUUUAAUUCGAUGCAACGCGAAGAACCUUACCUACUCUUGACAUCCAGAGAAUUUGCUAGAGAUAGCUUAGUGCCUUCGGGAACUCUGAGACAGGUGCUGCAUGGCUGUCGUCAGCUCGUGUUGUGAAAUGUUGGGUUAAGUCCCGCAACGAGCGCAACCCUUAUCCUUUGUUGCCAGCGAGUAAUGUCGGGAACUCAAAGGAGACUGCCGGUGAUAAACCGGAGGAAGGUGGGGAUGACGUCAAGUCAUCAUGGCCCUUACGAGUAGGGCUACACACGUGCUACAAUGGCAUAUACAAAGAGAAGCGAACUCGCGAGAGCAAGCGGACCUCAUAAAGUAUGUCGUAGUCCGGAUUGGAGUCUGCAACUCGACUCCAUGAAGUCGGAAUCGCUAGUAAUCGUAGAUCAGAAUGCUACGGUGAAUACGUUCCCGGGCCUUGUACACACCGCCCGUCACACCAUGGGAGUGGGUUGCAAAAGAAGUAGGUAGCUUAACCUUCGGGAGGGCGCUUACCACUUUGUGAUUCAUGACUGGGGUGAAGUCGUAACAAGGUAACC
This 731-nucleotide ribosomal RNA is filed under the name uncultured bacterium. Its description in RNAcentral is "bacterial SSU rRNA". It matches the Rfam family "Bacterial small subunit ribosomal RNA", at positions 771 to 1501 of the family's 1533-position model. The record is from RNAcentral.